GAUGAACGCUAGCGGCAGGCCUAACACAUGCAAGUCGAGGGGCAGCACAGAAACAGCAAUGUUUUGGUGGCGACCGGCGGACGGGUGCGUAACGCGUAUGCAACCUACCUUUAACAGGGGGAUAAGGGAGAGAAAUUUCCACUAAUACCCCAUAACAUCGAGCAAGGCAUCUUGAUUGGUUGAAAACUCCGGUGGUUAAAGAUGGGCAUGCGUUGUAUUAGGUAGUUGGUGAGGUAAUGGCUCACCAAGCCUACGAUACAUAGGGGGACUGAGAGGUUGGCCCCCCGAACUGGUACUGAGACACGGACCAGACUCCUACGGGAGGCAGCGGUGAGGAAUAUUGGUCAAUGGGGGCAACCCUGAACCAGCCAUGCCGCGUGCAGGAAGACGGCUCUAUGAGUUGUAAACUGCUUUUAAGCAGGGAUAAAGCACAGUAUGUAUACUGUGUUGAAGGUACUGUAAGAAUAAGGAUCGGCUAACUCCGUGCCAGCCGCCGCCGUAA
This 502-nucleotide ribosomal RNA is filed under the name uncultured bacterium. RNAcentral describes it as "partial 16S ribosomal RNA". It matches the Rfam family "Bacterial small subunit ribosomal RNA", at positions 28 to 523 of the family's 1533-position model. The record is from RNAcentral.